UAGAAGUACAGCAUAUGACAAAUCUGCUGUCACAUGGCUGACCUGGUGGAAGUGUUCAUCUCAGUGGUAACUGCAAAAGACCUGUAACUCUUCACAAAAUAUCUUUAACCUGAGCAGAAUGUGCUUGUGCUCCACUGAUGGGUGAAGAGCAUCAGUCAGCAGGCUGCUGGAGACCCCUCAAAUGGAACAGAUACCAACAAGGUCGAAAGCAAGUAAAACUCUUGGAAUCUGUUGUGAUUAAACAUAGCUUUGGCAGUGCCUGUGUUUUAAAAGAAUGGGGUUUGGCUGGUGUUUUGUUCUGCCAGUGACUGGAGAAAAACCCUUUACCAAAAGUUUUAACGAAAUCAGUAUGUCUGUGAAACUUGCCGACUUCUCAUCCGUCAGUGAUGUGACAGAUCUCUCAAAAAUAAACCAGUAUAAUAAAUUAACUGCAAGGGUAGGUGCAUGUAACAAACUUUGAAAAUAUUUCUUUGGGAUUAUGGAGGAAAACAGAAUGCAAAACAAAGUCACCUAAGGUCUGAGGUUGUCAUGCUAUCAAGAUUUCGCCUGGGAAAGACGUGCUCCUUAUUGCAAGAUGACAUCUAAGGCUAUGGAGUCACUGUAGCUGCCAUAUGAAGUUGGACAAUUAAUUAGGAACAGCGUAUUUUGUUGUAAAUGGCAAAUAUUCAAAGAAAUGUUGUCGCAAGAAUGAAUAUGUCUUUGCAAAUAAAUCAACAGUGUCUGCAGGGUGAUUAAAGUAUCUCGUGGAGGGAAAGGAAAGCGUGGUGU
Rhea pennata is the source of this 768-nucleotide long non-coding RNA. RefSeq lists it as uncharacterized. The transcript has 3 exons. Lineage: Eukaryota; Metazoa; Chordata; Aves; Rheiformes; Rheidae. The record is from RefSeq and is a predicted model, not a curated record.